GUAAAUUCAAGAUUAUAUAAUUAGUUUUCUUUCUAUUCUCUUUUCUUUUCAAACAAGAGAAAAUACAUUUACUUUUCCCCAUAAUCAAACAAGAGGAGGUAAAAUAAAUUUCUUUUUAAAACCUUUUUUCCCUACUUUUUUUUUGCUUAUUUUCUUUCCUCCCUCCUUAUCUUUCCUAACAUAGGGUAAAAGGCGCUUUAU
This 201-nucleotide unclassified non-coding RNA is filed under the name Hevea brasiliensis (rubber tree). Lineage: Eukaryota; Viridiplantae; Streptophyta; Magnoliopsida; Malpighiales; Euphorbiaceae. The record is from RNAcentral.